AACUUUGAAGUGGGCCCCUUUGCUCUGGGUAGAGUUCAUAAUCUAGUUGGGCAAGAAGUCGCAGAGUGGAAUCAGGUAAGUAACAACCCAAGACAGUAUAGGAUUAAGUCCUAGAGAAUGGUAUUGCUAGUUGUCUCUAAUUUCAGAAAAUCUUGGUGGGCAAUAACAAUUGAGGAAUUCUUCAGUAAAAAGGAGCUGAAUUUCUACAUUAUUUAUUUAUUUAUUUUUGUGGUGCUGGGGACUGAACCUAGAUCUGCUCACAUUCUAGGCAAGCACUGAACUGCUUCCCCAGCCUCACAGCUGACUAUAGUUGAAGGAGGAGACUAAGGAAGGAAUGGCCUUUCCAACCAAAAGAACUACAGCAGCAAAAACUUGAGUCAAGCUCCAGAUGUUUGAGAAUCUAGUAGAUUAUAAACUACUCCACUUAAAAAAGAGUUUCCUUCUGAUUAAUUCUCACUCCAAGAUUUUCAGACCAGACCUUAUGGGCAAAGAAAGAGACUUUAGGGAGACGAGGGAGGGCGACCGGCGGCCCGCAGGUACCCACCCAGUACACAGCCGGACGGAGAAGUGGGCGUCGCCUGCAAGGCCGGGCGCGUGACCGACGCCGAACGCACGGGCGCCCCGACUCUGGCGGGCGAUUCCGCCGCUCCCCCAC
Molecule: non-coding RNA, 655 nt
Organism: Heterocephalus glaber (naked mole-rat)
Lineage: Eukaryota; Metazoa; Chordata; Mammalia; Rodentia; Bathyergidae
Source: RefSeq, a predicted model, not a curated record